Molecule: small nuclear RNA, 116 nt
Organism: Salvia splendens (bonfire salvia)
Lineage: Eukaryota; Viridiplantae; Streptophyta; Magnoliopsida; Lamiales; Lamiaceae
Product: U5 spliceosomal RNA
Exons: 1
Source: RefSeq, a predicted model, not a curated record
AGCCGCGCGUUGAGCACAUAGCGAACUAUUCUAUCAUCUUUUACUAAAGAAUACUAUGUGUUUGUCGCUAUAAAGUGGCAUACACUAUUUUUUGGAAGGCCGAAAUAAAUUGAAAU